AUUGAACGCUGGCGGCAUGGCUUACACAUGCAAGUCGAACGGCAGCACGGGUGCUUGCACCUGGUGGCGAGUGGCGAACGGGUGAGUAAUACAUCGGAACAUGUCCUGUAGUGGGGGAUAGCCCGGCGAAAGCCGGAUUAAUACCGCAUACGAUCUACGGAUGAAAGCGGGGGACCUUCGGGCCUCGCGCUAUAGGGUUGGCCGAUGGCUGAUUAGCUAGUUGGUGGGGUAAAGGCCUACCAAGGCGACGAUCAGUAGCUGGUCUGAGAGGACGACCAGCCACACUGGGACUGAGACACGGCCCAGACUCCGACGGGAGGCAGCAGUGGGGAAUUUUGGACAAAGGGCGAAAGCCUGAUCCAGCAAUGCCGCGUGUGUGAAGAAGGCCUUCGGGUUGUAAAGCACUUUUGUCCGGAAAGAAAUCCUUGGCCCUAAUACGGUCGGGGGAUGACGGUACCGGAAGAAUAAGCACCGGCUAACUACGUG
Molecule: ribosomal RNA, 486 nt
Filed under: uncultured bacterium
Lineage: Bacteria
Description: partial 16S ribosomal RNA
Rfam family: Bacterial small subunit ribosomal RNA
Source: RNAcentral